AGUGAACGCUGGCGGUAGGCCUAAUACAUGCCAGUCGAACGGCAGCACAGUAAGAGCUCUCCCCUACGGGUGGCGGGUGGCGGGUGGGUGAGGAAUGCAUCACAAACCUCUUUUUCGUGGGGGAUACCGGAAGGCAACUUCCGCUACUACCGCAUACGUUCUACGGGUUAAAGCAGAAGAUAUUCGGGCCUUGCCCGUUUGAAUGAGCCGAUGUCGGAUUAGCUAGUUGGCUAGGUAAAGGCCCACCAAGGCAACGAUCCGUAGCUGGCCUGAGAGGAUGAUCAGCCACACUGGAACUGAGACACGGUCCAGACUCCUACGGGAGGCAGCAGUGGGGAAUAUUCGACAAUGGGCGCAAGCCUGACCCAGCAAUGCCGCGUGAGUGAAGAAGGUCUUCGGAUCGUAAAGCCCUGUUAUUAGGAAAGAAAAGAAGUAUGAGAAUAUCUCGCCGUUCUGACGGUACCUAAAGAGUAAGCACCGGCUAACUUCGUG
Molecule: ribosomal RNA, 492 nt
Filed under: uncultured bacterium
Lineage: Bacteria
Description: partial 16S ribosomal RNA
Rfam family: Bacterial small subunit ribosomal RNA
Source: RNAcentral